RNAcentral lists this ribosomal RNA (497 nucleotides) under uncultured bacterium. RNAcentral's name for it is "partial 16S ribosomal RNA". It matches the Rfam family "Bacterial small subunit ribosomal RNA", at positions 28 to 507 of the family's 1533-position model. The record is from RNAcentral.
GAUGAACGCUGGCGGCGUGCCUAAUACAUGCAAGUCGAGCGAACAGACGAGGAGCUUGCUCCUCUGACGUUAGCGGCGGACGGGUGAGUAACACGUGGAUAACCUACCUAUAAGACUGGGAUAACUUCGGGAAACCGGAGCUAAUACCGGAUAAUAUAUUGAACCGCAUGGUUCAAUAGUGAAAGACGGUUUUGCUGUCACUUAUAGAUGGAUCCGCGCCGCAUUAGCUAGUUGGUAAGGUAACGGCUCACCAAGGCAACGAUGCGUAGCCGACCUGAGAGGGUGAUCGGCCACACUGGAACUGAGACACGUUCCAGACUCCUACGGGAGGCAGCAGUAGGGAAUCUUCCGCAAUGGGCGAAAGCCUGACGGAGCAACGCCGCGUGAGUGAUGAAGGUCUUCGGAUCGUAAAACUCUGUUAUUAGGGAAGAACAAAUGUGUAAGUAACUAUGCACGUCUUGACGGUACCUAAUCAGAAAGCCACGGCUAACUACGUG